Molecule: non-coding RNA, 78 nt
Organism: Paramuricea clavata
Lineage: Eukaryota; Metazoa; Cnidaria; Anthozoa; Malacalcyonacea; Plexauridae
Source: the annotation of a GenBank genome assembly
AGCUCUGUUGCUCAGUUGGUUAGAGUGCAGCACUGGAAUCGCAGGGCCACAGGUUCGAUUCCUGUUCCUGCAUGGUUA